Molecule: ribosomal RNA, 300 nt
Filed under: uncultured Acidobacteriota bacterium
Lineage: Bacteria; Pseudomonadati; Acidobacteriota
Description: bacterial SSU rRNA
Rfam family: Bacterial small subunit ribosomal RNA
Source: RNAcentral
ACGUGGGCAACCUACCCGGAGAUGGGGGAUAACUCUUCGAAAGGAGAGCUAAUACCGCAUAACACCCCGAGGUUUUCGAAGCUCGGGUUCAAAGCUAGCCUCUGCUUGCAAGCUAGCGUCACCGGAGGGGCCCGCGCCCCAUUAGCUAGUUGGUGAGGUAACGGCUCACCAAGGCGACGAUGGGUAGCCGGCCUGAGAGGGCGACCGGCCACACUGGAACUGAGACACGGUCCAGACUCCUACGGGAGGCAGCAGUGAGGAAUCUUGCGCAAUGGGCGAAAGCCUGACGCAGCGACGCCG